Molecule: long non-coding RNA, 7626 nt
Filed under: Fragaria vesca (wild strawberry)
Lineage: Eukaryota; Viridiplantae; Streptophyta; Magnoliopsida; Rosales; Rosaceae
Description: long non-coding RNA (FVES_LNC003341)
Source: RNAcentral
UCACUCUAACGUGUUUCAAAUGUUUUCCCCUGGGCUCUUCAUUUUGAAAAUGCCCAGUUUGCAGGAUUGCAUAGUUGAGGUCGGGCGUACAUGGGGAUGAGGCAUAGUCAUCAUAUAGCUUCCGCUUGUUAAUUUAUUAUGUUUCCUUUCUUCUUGUUAGAGUUGCUCUGAACCUAUAAAUGGUUGGAUAUGAGAUUUGUUUAGAUUAGUAAAUAAUUUAGGUGGUGUUGUGAUUUGGGGAGCACGGAGGCUGCAGGAGUUUAAAGUUGGAUUUAAAUUUUUAGAAGUGUUUACAGGUAUUAUUAGGAAGGGUUGUCUAUUUUCAAGGGAGGUUAUGCCGAUUUUUCGAUAAAGUUUUCUUCGAGGUGGUCCCCGCACGACUUACUCUGGGUUUCAGGGUGAAAUUUGGGGUGGGUCGUGUCAGUUGGUAUCAGAGCACUAGGUUAUUCGUUUCCUUUCUCUUUUUAGUACUACCUCAUAUUCUUGGUCAUGCUCAAUGUCUAUAGAGUGAUGGUCCGACCGCGGCGGAUCUAUUAGCAUUAUAUGCUUUAGACACUAUGUGUUGAUUAGGUUUGUGAUGUAGUUGUUCCUAUUUUUAUUAAUGGACAGUAUUGUCCAUAAAUGUCUAUAUCUUCAAGACUAUGCCUCUGUACACCGACCUCUUAAGUGAUCAUCCUGCUUUGAUUAGGGAAGGAGGUGUUUGGUUUAUGCCUUUUCCAAGGGUAUCAAGUUGAUAUCUUAAAUUGUGAGUUUAAUUGCGAGAUGGGAACUCAUAUGCAUGGUAGCAUUCUUUUCAUGUGAUCAAUGAUUGUUUGGGUUAUGAUUAAGAUGCUUGGGUGAGCAUCUCGUGCCAAUGUGUAGAAGGUGAAAAGUUUAAUUCAAGCUUUGGAGGUCACUAUUUAUAGUGGGCAAGUGUGAAGUUGUUGUUGUCCGAUAGAAAAUCUUGGCUUCGAGUUGUUUGACUUCUAGGAGAAAAUAGUUGGAAAGAAAGUUCGAGGUAGUGGUGUUUUCUUUUGAGGUUAAAGUUAGUUGAAGUGUUAUGGUGGGUACCUAUAGUAACUCUUGGAGGUAACUUUUGGAGGUACCUUUAUGAGUUGUUGCGGACCCUAAGCUUGAGCGAUUUAGUCACGUGGGAUUUAUGGCUAGUGAUUGGUGGUAAGGCAUUGCGACAUAAAGAGCUAAAUAUCAAUUUAGAUAAGUCAUGAUAGAAAGCCAAUUUGCCGACUAUGUUUAUCUGCAACAGAAAGCAGUUGGGAACAAUUUGGGAUAAUGCUGGUUAUGUCAGCACAUAUCCUGGUUCCUACAACUUUAAUUAUGGAAGUAUAUUUUUGAAAAUGACGGAUAAUAGUAGUCGAUGAAUAACAAGAUUUCUGAUGAUUGGAGUCUCUAAUGUGGGUUAGCUGAAGUCGGUUAAAGUACUAAGUAGAAUGACUUGGAUUGUUGGUUUUACAAAAGUCAUUGGUCAGUGCGUUGUGACAACUUCUUGUUGUGCCAAAAUCGAGAAAUUUUAGAAAUUGAAUGGUGGCACUAAAUGGUUUGAGCUUCAAGCAAGUUUGGAAUCGUGGAGUGAGAUGUCAGUUAUAUUAUUUUAAUCGUGGGGCCAUUUUGGCUUCUUUCGGAAUUCCAGGUGUCGAAGUUUGGUUUCCAGUUUUGUUGAGUGUUUUGGAAGAUGAUAAUGUAAUGGAAUCGAAAAGUAAUGGUGGAGUGAGAGCGGGAUGGUUGUGGUCACUCCAGUUUUACGACAACACAUGGUGAAAUUUUAAAUAGGUGUUGUCAUGAGUUUUUGUUUAUAAAUUCUAAGGUAGUUGCAUGAAAUUGGUGGAAGUGGCAGUGGUAGAAUAGAACCCACUGGAUCAUAAAGCAAGAGUGCGUGGGUGUCCAAAGUAAUUUUUAAGCAAUGUCAUUUCGGGUGGUUGAUGUAAGUCUCAAAUUUGUGAUCGAAGAUGGUUUUGACAUCAUUUCGUUCACAAUGGGUGACUAUAGACGACAUAUCAAUGGGAGAAUCUGUUCUCACCUUAUUUCUAAUUUGGUGAGAUGGAGUAAAGUUUUGGUUGUGGUGUGUGUGGGAAUAUUUAAAUUAUUCCUACUGUAGUUUUUAGGUAGUAUCCUCAGAGCUUGAAAUUUUUGAAUGCGGAUUCAACGCUUCAAUUUGAAGGGUAGAGAUUCUGGUUAUUUUGUCGAAGUUUUGAGGUAAAUGAUAUUUGGUAGUUGUGUCGUAGUCAUGGAUCCGGAAUAAAUCCAGUGGUGAUCCCAAGUGAGCUGGAGUUCAUUUAAGCGAUGAGUCUUUAUGCCGUAAAUCCUAUGUGGUAGUUUGAGAGUUGCAUGGUGAUGUUGAUUUAGAUGGUUUGUGUCAGUAUAGGUAUAUUUCAUGAUGUAGCAUUAUGAGAGAAGGUUUUCCCCUGUUGACUCAAGAAGUUUUUCGAGUCAAGGUUUAUUAAGAGAUUUCUAUGGCGAAUAGUAGAUUUAUUGAUAGGUUGAUCAACGCCUCUUCUCAAGAUCGUUUUGUGGUGGGACCACUCAUUGAUCCAAGUUUUUGUUUGGGAGGUCUUUGCUUUUUGGUUGUGCGUUUAUCUGUUGGUGUCAGGAUGAUUAGUGGAGGUUUCUAGUGCGAUUUCGAAGCGGGUUCUGGCGGAUAUCGGAGAUCUGUGGAGCUUUUGAGCUCGAAGUUAGAGGACUUGCUUUUCGUGUGCUUUAAAUUAUUUCUUUUGGAGCUUGAGCUGAGUUAAGCCAUGAGUUUUGAUUCUUGCUUGAAUUCAUGGUUUUCGUUAGUUGGUGAACCACAAGGUGUAGUAGUGGGUCUUGUAUAAAAAUUUGUCUUUGCUUUUGUUAGUCGCAUGUUAUUGCAAGCUGAGUUUUCGAAGAAUCUUUUUGGUGGGAAGUCGUGGCCCUGGGAUGUGUAGGUGACUUGAGCAUAUCUGAUUUUCAGAUUGUUUUCUGCUAUCAGAUUUAUUGUUGUUAGAGGUAAAAAAGGAAAUGUAUUUGUCGGAUCCAAAGGUUUUGGCAUUUAGAAUCAUUCUGGUGGAACGGCUAGAGUGAGCCGUGUGCUUUUAAUUAUUGCUCUUGGGGUCGCAGUUGCACCCGAAUAAGUAGCAUGGCUGGAGAUGUAAAUUUUGUCAAUGUUUAAAGGAGGUGUUCUAUUUAUGUGGAUUUCAACGUCAAGUUUAUCAUCAUGAAUUGACUGUGCCAAUUUUUCGUGGGCAUUAUUAGUCAGUUUUGUUUAUGGCGAGCAUGGGGGAAUUCCUAGUUUCCACAUGAUAGUCAUGUGUCCGAUUAUCUUCUGGUUUGUGGUAAAGAGAAUAGUGGAGAUAGCGUUAUCAGGAGAGAGUUGGAAAUUCCCAUAAGUUGCUAGUUUGUGGUGCAUAAAAUGGUAAUGUAAUAGUUUUGGUGGAGAGAUCUAAGUGUCGUGGUAUUGAUCUUUUCAUAAUGUCAUUUCGAAAAUCGAAGUUAUCAUUUGUUGGUGGACUGGUCAUUUAGGCAGAGCAAGGUUAUCUUGUGGACUUGCGAGAGCUUUGGCUCCGCGAAAGACUCUGCGAGGUGUCUCGGUAGUAGGAGUGAUUGUUGCAGUUCUGCAGUGUGUGCAUCCUUAAAAAUCUGUUCAAUUAACGGGUCUUAAUUUAGACCCCUAUGAGCAUGUGGGAAUGUGUGAAUUUUAGUUUCCUAGCAAGUAGGCUUCAUUGUCGAGCUGUGAGCAGCGUAAUGACGAGGUUGUUGCGUGAUGUUAGGAGAUUUGAGGCCGAUGGUGAUAGCAAAUUUAUGCGCUUUAUUUGGGUUAACUAUUUCCAUUGCUCAGGAAAGAGUAUGCAUACCUACGGGUACUCGUACUCUGGAACAGGUAUCACUGAACUCACUUACGUGUAAACGUUAGUGGCAGUUCAAUUAAGGAUUUAGAGUCUUUGAGAAGAUUUAAAUUAAUUCAGGAUUUAAAUGAAAAGGUUAAAGGAGUUUGAGGUAGACUUAAGGUAGCUCUUAGUAGCCAGAAGAUUUAUAAAGAUGUUCGCAGGAAGGACCAUGAGUUUCAAGUGAGUAUUUUGGGUGUUUUCGAAAUUGUCUCCUUGGAAAGGGGUGGUACGUUUUAGUAACGUGCAAAGCUUGGUCCAAGAUUUAUUAGUCCUUAUGGGUUUUUAGAUCAAGUUGGCUCUCUUGCGUUUCAGUUAGUUUUGCCUCCAGAAUUAUCCAGGAUACAUAAUGUGUUUCAUGUAUUCAUGUUUCGCAAGUAUAUUACCGAUUCCUCUCAUGGGUUGCAAGAGCAGCCGAUUAUUUUGUAGAAAGAUUUGACCUUUGAUGAGGAUCCGGUUCAGUUUUUAGACCAGAGGGAGCAACUGCUUAGAAGCAAAUCUUUUCCUCUUGUUAAAUUCUGUGGAGGAGUCACCAAGUAGAAGAAGCUACUUGGGAAUCAGAGGAGCAAAUGAGACAGCAGUAUCCCUAUCUCUUUGAUUUGUCAGGUAUGUAAAUUUCGAAGACGAAAUUUUUAUAAGGAGAGGAGAAUUGUCACAUCCCGACCCUUAAAUUUUUACCUUAUUUACUAGCUUGGUUAUAAUAAGAAUUUUACCGUCUCCGUCAUUGAAGUUAUAGUUUAAUUGGUCCCUAGAGGGGUUUCGGGGACGGUUAUGCUCGGAGGAUUAUUCGUAGGAGAAAAAUAUGAGGACGGUAAAAAUGGUAAAUUUUAGCUAGUAAAAGGUAAUUUUUUUCGGGUAUUAUUUUUCGGGGUGUUUUAUUUUUGAAAUUGGGUAUAAUUGUGGGUUGGACCGGUUUUGGGGAGGCCCAAACCAUUUUUCCUUUUUUCUCUUUUCUCUUCUCUCUUCUUCUUCUCCUCCUCCCGACCCUCUCUUCACCUCCCGUUUCUGGUUCUUCUUCAGCUCCGGCCGCCGUCGUCUGACCGACUUCGUCCGCCACACCGGUCCCCAUCGAACCACCACCUUCUCCUCUUCAUUUCUGGGCAGGUCAUCGAGCUGCCAUCGCCGCCGUGAGGAGGUAAUCUCCAUUAGAAGUCCGGCUGCCCUUCUGCCGGAGCUCCGAUUUCCAGCCACCAUAGCUCGUGAUUCUUAGCUCAUUUUGUAGCUCUCAUGAAGGUUAGUGAUUCCUCGAAAGGAAUCGAUGUAAUUCGGUCUUGAUAAGGAGAUAUGUUUAAUUGAAGUUCUAGGGAGUUUUGAAUGUUUUUAGUCGAUUACCCUAGUUAGGCUUGGAAUUGGUGUGUGUGCUAGUUAGAAAAGUUGUAGAGCAUGAUGAGAGGAUUAUUCUAUCAAAAUUUCAUAGGAAUCGGAGGUCGCCGGAAUUGGCCUCCGGCCGCCGCUGCCGGCGGAGCCGCCGCCAGCGCCGCCACUGUUUGGAAGAUUUUUAGGGUUUUAAAUUUAGAAUAUUAAGGGGAGUUUGUUGAAGUGAGUUAUGGAAUUUUUGGAUGAGUUUUGGAUAGGUUUAUGAAUUUCCGAAGUGUGGUAUUUUUUUGUGGUUAAUUAAUGUAGAAUCCGCCGCUUGUUAAUUUAUUAUGUUUCCUUUCUUCCUGUUAGAGUUGCUCUGAACCUAUAAAUGGUUGGAUAUGAGAUUUGUUUAGAUUAGUAAAUAAUUUGGGUGGUGUUGUGAUUUGGGGAGCACGGAGCCUCCAGGAGUUUAAGGUUGGAUUUAAAUUUUCAGAAGUGUUUGCAGGUAUUAUUAGGAAGGGUUGUCCAUUUUCAAGGGAGGUUAUGCCGAUUUUUCGGUAAAUUUUUCUUCGAGGUGGUCCCCGCACGACUUACUCUGGGUUUCAGGGUGAAAUUUGGGGUGGGUCGUGUCAGUAUAAAUAUAUGCCCAUACCCCCUAUAUGAAUUAGAUACUCAUAUAGGGCUACUACGCUCGCGUCCAACGCUCACGUCACACCAUAAUGCGGCUAUAUGUUACGCCAGUAAAGUGGACAGACACAUAUGGCUAGCUAGCAUUUAUAUACAUACUCUCCUCAUAAAUAUCCAUAUACUUAUUCACCGAAAAUUUCAUUUUCGGUAACUCUCCAAAAUAAUAAAAAUUGUCAAUUAUCAUAAAAACAAUAUGCACACGACUCCACCGAAAAUCUCAUUUUCGGUAACUUUCCAAAUAACAUGAUAGGUAUUAAAAAUAAGAACAUUUACUUCGGAAGAUGACUUCGUGAAAAUAAACAAUUCCACAAAUUGAUAUUCAAUAACAUCAAUCAUUUAAUAUGAAAUCACCACAUGCUUAUAAUUUAAAACGAACGUCCACUCACAACUUUAGGCUUAAGCCUGACGUCAAUCCGAAGUCUCUCCAAUUCGAGCCUCCUCACGUCCUGAUCCAAACAUAAAAUUAAUUUCCCAACUAAAAAUCCAAAUAUUUAUACAACAUAGACAAAAAUUAAACGUGAGCCAUAUCCACGCUUAUCAUUGCCUAACUUCAAUAUUCCUAAUUCAAAAUGCUCAAAAUUCACCGAAAAAUAAUGGCAGCCUUAACACAAUCUUCACAGAUUAUACGACUUUAAUCCAAUGGCCGAAUUCUACCUUAAUUAACCGUCAAAAAUACCAAAUUUCAGAAAUUCACAAACCUAACCAAAACUCAUCCGAAAAUUCCAUAAUUUACAUCAAUACACUCCUCUUAAUAUUCCACAUUUAAAAACAUUAAAAUCUCCCAACCGGCGGCGGCGCCGGCGCCAGCCCCGCCGGCAGCGGCGGCCGGAGGCCAAUUCCGGCGACCUCCAAUGCCCACCAAAUUUUAACAGCAUCUUCCUCUCAACUCCCUCUACAACAUUCCUAACUAGCACAAACACCAAUUCCAAGCCUAACUAGGUCAAUCGAGCAAAACAACACAAAAAGCCCUAGAGCUUCCACCUCAAAUUUAUCCUUACCUGAAGCGAACCGGAGUGAGUCCUUUUAGGAAAAGGUAGCUGGGUUGGAGACCUACAAAACCGUACCAAACUUGCCCAGAUUGGUGGCCGGAGGAGGGAGUUCCGGCGACACCACAGUCACCCCUUCGGGACCGGUUUCCUCCUGUUCGGCCGUGAAGUGGCAGCGCUCACCGGCCAAGGAUGAGAGAGGAGGAGACGCCGGUCCAGACGGGACCGGUGCGGCAGCCUGGUUCGACCGGAGGACGGCGGCGUGCGGAGGAUUUCCGGCGAAGGGAGAGUGAAAACCGGGAAGGAAAAAAAGAAGAGAAGGGAGAAAAUGGCUUUGGGCCUCCUCCCCCCCAAACCGGUCCAACUUAAUACCCACUUAAAAACAAACCCAACUCCAAAAAUAAAACACCCCGAAAAAUAAUACCCGAAUAAAAAAUUACCUUUUACUAGCUAAAAUUUUACCAUUUUUACCGUCGUCAUAAUUUUCUCCUACGAAUAACUCUCCGAAAUAAUCGUCCCCCAAAACCCCUCGAGGGACCAAUUAAACUACAACUUCAUUGACGGAUACGGUAAAAUUCUUAUUAUAAUCAAGCUAGUAAAUAAGGUAAAAAUUUAAGAACCGGGAUGUGACAAUUUAGGUAUUCAUAAUAUCAUUUUUUGAAAAGACCCAACUAAUGUUUAUUAUCAGGAAUUACAAGUUGGCAGGUUGGAAAAAAGGAUCCAUUUCUAAAGCAGGAAGACUCACUUUGAUCAAGGCUAAUGUUUCAGGUAUGUCAAAUCAUGUCAUGUCGUGUUUUAAAUGUCCUGCAAAAAUUACA